Phalacrocorax carbo (great cormorant) is the source of this 1402-nucleotide non-coding RNA. NCBI's taxonomy places the organism in Eukaryota, Metazoa, Chordata, Aves, Suliformes, Phalacrocoracidae. The record is from RefSeq and is a predicted model, not a curated record.
GAUCUUGGUGACUGUGGCUGUUUAAGAAGACACAGGUUGUGCCUGUGUAUUCAAACGCCAAGAGAAGAAAGUCAGCUUCUCAGGAAAGGAUUGUGCAGACCUACCAGAGCUAAGUGAGUCACAGUGCUGGUGGAGCAUCACCUCCUGUCUGCAUCCCAGCGGCGCCAUCCUCACAUGACUGAAGGCAGAGCAGGUCCAGAGGCUGCUGUUUAAGCAAAUGGUCAGCUUCCUACCAGAUAUACAAGGACAACAGCUGGACAGUUAUUGAAGUAGAUGUCCUGAUGCGAUGGAUGAUUUGGAAAGAAAAACAGGAUAAGAAGCAGCUUAGAGACCUGUGCUGAUCUGAACAGCAAGAUUGGGGGUCCUGGGCUUCAUGCUCCACUGCCCACCUGAUGGAUAAUGCCCUUCACCCUGACUGAACUGCUCUUUUGUCAGAUCAGUCAGUGCCUUGGUCACAUUUGGAGGAUGGCAGGGUUAAAGAGGAGAUGAAAAAGUGAUAGAUCGUAUCUGCCUGUAUUUCCCAUCUACAGGUUACUGAGUAUGUGCUAUAGCAUAAUCCCUAGACUUAUCUUUCUGCUAAAUGUCACAAACCAGCUUGAAAACUGAAAAAAUAAAUACAUGAACUACUCUUGCAAUUAGAAAUGGCUACUCUGCAUGCUGGAGGGACCUUCUCAUGUCCUUCAGUGGUAUGCAAGGCAGGGCUUGUUUUACCCUGGGAACAUUCAACCUAAAACUUUUGGGCACUUUUACGCUUGUAAGGAGAAAGUUACGCUGCUCACUCAGUGCACCUGAGACCAAAAACCACACGGUAUUUCUUGCAGGAUACUCACAGUUCAGCUCAGCCUAUGAUCCUAGCAAUAGAGGUCAAUUUGACAUUUCAAAACUCAGAUCAAAUACAAACUCAUAACGAAGGUUAUGUUCUGCCAAAAGGAAGCGAGUCUUCCCAGUGGGAGUGAUUUACUUGCAACAUAAAUGCAGGGCUGAAUACUGUGAAAUACACAGCUCCAAUUUUGAUCAGCCAGAAAAGAGAGCCUUUAUCGCGAUGCCUCAGCCUGCUUUCACAACGUCAUAGGAGUUUGACCAGCUCUUUUCCAUCAGUGACUCUGGAGGACAUCAAAGGAAAAAUCAGCUGACAGGUAUUUCUAGAUUUGUUGUAGGUAAUUAGGAAUAUGGUGUCUCAGCUCUGACAGAACCCCUGAUUUUUGUUAGCUGGGCCUCUGCUUGGAAAUUAUGCCAAUAGCAUAGGCCAGGAAAUGUGUGGGGAAAGUUAAUUGCAGCCUGAGUGUGUGAUAGUUUGCAGUGUUCCUGCUGAUUGGGGUACAUGUAAGGAUUUCAUUUUAAAGCAGAAUUCUGUGAUACAUUUCUCUUUCCUAAUAUUAUGGAAUGCAAAAUCUGGCUUAAA